This 819-nucleotide ribosomal RNA is filed under the name uncultured bacterium. Its description in RNAcentral is "bacterial SSU rRNA". It matches the Rfam family "Bacterial small subunit ribosomal RNA", at positions 8 to 872 of the family's 1533-position model. The record is from RNAcentral.
GAUUGUUUGAUCAUGGCUCAGAACGAACGCUGGCGGCAUGCCUAACACAUGCAAGUCGAACGAAGGCUUCGGCCUUUAGUGGCGCACGGGUGUGUAACGCGUGGGAAACUGCCUAUUGGUGGGGAAUAACGACGGGAAACUGUCGCUAAUACCGCAUAAGCCCUUCGGGGGAAAGAUUUAUCGCCGAUAGAUGUGCCCGCGUCCGAUUAGCUAGUUGGUGAGGUAAUGGCUCACCAAGGCGACGAUCGGUAGCUGGUCUGAGAGGAUGAUCAGCCACACUGGGACUGAGACGCGGCCCAGACUCCUACGGGAGGCAGCAGUGGGGAAUAUUGGACAAUGGGCGAAAGCCUGAUCCAGCAAUGCCGCGUGAGUGAUGAAGGCCUUAGGGUUGUAAAGCUCUUUCGGGUGGGACGAUGAUGACGGUACCACCAGAAGAAGCCCCGGCUAACUUCGUGCCAGCAGCCGCGGUAAUACGAAGGGGGCUAGCGUUGUUCGGAAUUACUGGGCGUAAAGCGCACGCAGGCGGCGUGAUAAAUUAGAAGUGAAAGCCCCGGGCUUAACCUGGGAAUUGCUUUUAAGACUGUCACGCUAGAAUCCAGAAGAGGGUAGUGGAAUUCCGAGUGUAGAGGUGAAAUUCGUAGAUAUUCGGAAGAACACCAGUGGCGAAGGCGACUACCUGGUCUGGCAUUGACGCUCAUGUGCGAAAGCGUGGGGAGCAAACAGGAUUAGAUACCCUGGUAGUCCACGCCGUAAACGAUGAGUGCUAGUUGUUGGGGUUCAUAGAACUUCAGUGACGCAGCUAACGCAUAAGCACUCCGC